AGCCAUGGGUGCUGUGGGGUGGGGAUGUGCACCCAUGGGUGCUGUAGGGUGGGGAUAGGGACCCUAUGGGGCAGCAAUGGGCACCCAUGGGUGCUGUGGGGCUGGGAUAGGCACCCAUGGGGGCUGUGGGGCUGGGAUAUGGACCCAAUUGGGUAGAAAAGGGCACCCAUGGGAGCUGUAGGGAGGGGAUAGGGACCCUAUGGGGCAGCAAUGAGCACCCAUGGGUGCCCCCCAUCCACGCUAUGGGGCAGCGAAACCCCAUUGAUCCCAACGAUCUCAGCGUCCGAUGCGGCCGAGCGAACUGCCAAAAGCAAGCAGCAAAUGGGGUCAAAAAAAACCCCCAAAAGGUUAAAAUGGGGGUUUGGGGGGAUUUGGGGACUCACCUGGCACGUCGUUGUUGCCCCAUAUCGGGUCUCGUUUGAUUGGGGUCAGCAUUUAUAGGGUCGUCUGUAGGGCCGCGACGGAGAAAAGGCCGUAAAGUUCCUCUCAAUGGGGAACCGCCGGGGCGGCCCGGCGUUAAGUUGAAUGGCCACGGUGGCUCCUCCUCCUCCCGCAAAACUGCGAAUUCGAUUGGUUGGCGGAGAGCGGAAGUGGGCGUGGUUACGCGCUAAGUUUCCCACGGUUCUCCCACGCGUUCAUUCAUUUCGUUCGUUUGUUCAUUCAUUCACUUACAGUCGCGGUCGGAAGAGGAAUAGGGUUUGAUUUCCUCUUCCGGGCGUCGCUGGGGGGGGC
Molecule: long non-coding RNA, 732 nt
Filed under: Chrysolophus pictus (golden pheasant)
Lineage: Eukaryota; Metazoa; Chordata; Aves; Galliformes; Phasianidae
Description: lncRNA (ENSCPIG00010005783.1)
Source: RNAcentral